GGUAUGGCUCAGUGGUACAGCACUUGCCUAGUAUGCAUGAGGCCCUGGGCUCAAUCCCCAGAACCA
RNAcentral lists this transfer RNA (66 nucleotides) under Urocitellus parryii (Arctic ground squirrel). Its description in RNAcentral is "Spermophilus parryii (Arctic ground squirrel) tRNA". It matches the Rfam family "tRNA". From Rfam's summary of the family: Transfer RNA (tRNA) molecules are approximately 80 nucleotides in length. RNAcentral also lists the same sequence under 1 other name. The record is from Rfam by way of RNAcentral. Lineage: Eukaryota; Metazoa; Chordata; Mammalia; Rodentia; Sciuridae.